Molecule: ribosomal RNA, 551 nt
Filed under: Gasterophilus haemorrhoidalis
Lineage: Eukaryota; Metazoa; Arthropoda; Insecta; Diptera; Oestridae
Description: partial 16S ribosomal RNA
Source: RNAcentral
CCGGUCUGAACUCAGAUCACGUAAGAAUUUAAAAGUCGAACAGACUUAAAAUUUAAGCUGCUACACCUAAACCUAUCUCUUAAUCCAACAUCGAGGUCGCAAUCCCUUUUAUCAAUAAGAACUCUCCAAAAAAAUUACGCUGUUAUCCCUAAAGUAACUUAAUUUUAUAAUCGUUAUUAACGGAUCAAACAACCAUAAAUAAAUGUCACCAAAAAUUAAAAGUUCAUUAAAUUUUAAUAUCACCCCAAUAAAAUAAUAUCAAUUACUAUAGCACAAAAUAUCUAAAUAACCAUAACAAACUAAUUAUAAAGAUUUAUAGGGUCUUCUCGUCUUUAAAACCCAUUUCAGCUUUUUUACUGAAAAAUGAAAUUCUAAUUCAAAUUCAAAUGAAACAGUUAGUAUCUCGUCCAACCAUUCAUUCCAGCCUUCAAUUAAAAGACUAAUGAUUAUGCUACCUUUGCACAGUUAAAAUACUGCGGCCAUUCAACUUUCAGUGGGCAGGUUAGACCUUAUAUUUAUAAUCAAAAGGACAUGUUUUUGUUAAACAGGCG